CUAAUCUUUAUCAUUCUUGGUUCAUAGGGUGCAUGUAUUGCUGCACCCAAUCUUUGUAAGUUAAGCUCUUUGUCUUUCAAUUGUAUUUCCAAAUGAAGCUCAUGGAUACAUGUAUGUUGUAGGUAUUGGUUUCUUUAUUAUAUCAUGCAGUACAAUGAAGCCUCGGUCGUAUUGCACGAUUACUUGACAAAUUGAAUUUUUUUUCCCAUAUGUUUACAUGUAUUGUGUACUAAUGAGAUGUAGUUUUGUCACCGUCAAGACUUUUGUUAAGAAGUGUCGAUGAUAAAGUAAUCAAAUAUUGACUGUGCAUGAGGAUGACUGUAAAAAUUAUCAUUCCCGAAGUGCGUUUCAUACCUCUAUCACCCCUGGGCCAAGGCUUUGGAGUAAUAGAAGGGCGGGUAUGAAAAGCACCGAGAGAGUGAUUAUAUUCACUGUCAUCCGAAUAGAGCAGUCCAUAUUUGUUUUUUUAUAACUCAUCAAUAAUUACACAACUCUAUCCCCAGUCUAUUAAAUUUCAGGACCACUAGUGUAUUAAGGUCAAUUUGAUUUGCUAAAUUUCUUUAGUUGUAAUUUAAACGAGCUGAUCCCGGGGCUGCUCUGCUGUUGGCCAGGCCAGGACAACCGAUAAAUCCAGUUGGCAAGCCAGCCAGCGCGCCGUUGGCUGCUCGUACAGUCAUGACCGAGUAGCAGCAGCGCAGCCAGCUACAUGCGCAGCAAUAUAGCUCGAGCCAGCUACAUGCAUGCGUUGAAACACAAAUUGUGAUCCUGCCCCCUCAGGGGUUGCAAGUACUAUCAGAGGGUUUGAUAGAAGAAAUGUACAGUAAGUCAAACCCCUGAGACGAUGAUAGACAGAAUAGUACCGCGUUACAUGAUGCAGUUUUGACCAAUCAGAGAUAAAAACUUAAUAUGAGGUAUAUAAUGCCUUUUGAUGGCUGAUUUGAUGUUCCGGUAUUGACUAGACUAUAUGACCUCAGCAAGAAUCAAAUUAAAAUAAUAUAUAUUAGUUGAUUUACAGUCACCAAACAGUAUUUUUUAUUGUGUGGCUUCUGUGUUACUCUAAAAAAACUUAAUAAUGAACAAGUAAUCUUAGAUUAGAAAGCAAUAGACUGACAUAUUUACUUAAAAUGUAUUACGUACAAACUGUUAUCAUGUAAAUUUGUGCAUUUGUCAUUGAUUAAAUACAUUUGAUUUGAAAAGCUGCUGAAUAGCAUAACUUCCCCCUAUGCAGGAUAUUUCAAACUGUCUAAUCAACCACUAGCUAAACAAUCACAGAUAUAGAUCCUGUCAUUUUUAAAAAAUUACUAUGAGUAUUGUUCUUACAAGGUGGCCCUUUGUGCGUAAAAGACAUUUGUGCAAUAUUUUUUUUUUCCAUAGAUAUUG
Long non-coding RNA from Lytechinus variegatus (green sea urchin), 1380 nucleotides. RefSeq lists it as uncharacterized. Lineage: Eukaryota; Metazoa; Echinodermata; Echinoidea; Temnopleuroida; Toxopneustidae. The record is from RefSeq and is a predicted model, not a curated record. The transcript is spliced from 3 exons.